Molecule: non-coding RNA, 25 nt
Filed under: Mus musculus (house mouse)
Lineage: Eukaryota; Metazoa; Chordata; Mammalia; Rodentia; Muridae
Source: RNAcentral
UGUUCUCAGGGAGGAGAGACCUUUG